UAUAGAUGGAUCCGCGCUGCAUUAGCUAGUUGGUAAGGUAACGGCUUACCAAGGCAACGAUGCAUAGCCGACCUGAGAGGGUGAUCGGCCACACUGGAACUGAGACACGGUCCAGACUCCUACGGGAGGCAGCAGUAGGGAAUCUUCCGCAAUGGGCGAAAGCCUGACGGAGCAACGCCGCGUGAGUGAUGAAGGUCUUCGGAUCGUAAAACUCUGUUAUUAGGGAAGAACAUAUGUGUAAGUAACUGUGCACAUCUUGACGGUACCUAAUCAGAAAGCCACGGCUAACUACGUGCCAGCAGCCGCGGUAAUACGUAGGUGGCAAGCGUUAUCCGGAAUUAUUGGGCGUAAAGCGCGCGUAGGCGGUUUUUUAAGUCUGAUGUGAAAGCCCACGGCUCAACCGUGGAGGGUCAU
RNAcentral lists this ribosomal RNA (414 nucleotides) under Staphylococcus aureus. RNAcentral's name for it is "bacterial SSU rRNA". It matches the Rfam family "Bacterial small subunit ribosomal RNA", at positions 220 to 626 of the family's 1533-position model. The record is from RNAcentral. Lineage: Bacteria; Bacillati; Bacillota; Bacilli; Caryophanales; Staphylococcaceae.